This 217-nucleotide long non-coding RNA is filed under the name Daucus carota (carrot). RNAcentral's name for it is "long non-coding RNA (DCAR_LNC003909)". Lineage: Eukaryota; Viridiplantae; Streptophyta; Magnoliopsida; Apiales; Apiaceae. The record is from RNAcentral.
AUGCAAACCGCGGUUCACGUUGAACCGUCAACCCGUCUAAAACCGCCAACCCGUACAACCCACCUAACCCGUAUUAUACGGUUCCGGUUUCACAUUUUUUUAACCCGGCACGGCACGGCCCGACCCGCCUAUAUAGCCGUGCCGGUUACGGUUUCACCGGCGACGGUUCGGAAACCGUCUGAACCGGCCCGAACCGCCCCGGCCCGCCCGAAUGGCC